This 660-nucleotide ribosomal RNA is filed under the name uncultured organism. RNAcentral's name for it is "SSU rRNA". It matches the Rfam family "Eukaryotic small subunit ribosomal RNA", at positions 75 to 858 of the family's 1831-position model. The record is from RNAcentral.
UACACAGUAAAACUGCGAAUGGCUCAUUAGAACAGUUAUAGUUUAUUUGAUACAUUAAAUGGAUAACUGUAUGAAACUAGAGCUAAUACAUGCCUAGGCCGUAAGGCUGCAUUUAUUAGAUAUACCAAGCCGGUGAAUCAUAAUAACUUAGCAAAUCGAUACUACGUAUCGAUAAAUCAUUCAAGUUUCUGACCUAUCAGCUCUCGAUGGUAGUGUAUUGGACUACCAUGGCAGUCACGGGUAACGGAGAAUUAGGGUUCGAUUCCGGAGAGGGCGCAUGAGAAACGGCUACUACAUCUAAGGAUGGCAGCAGGCGCGUAAAUUACCCAAUCCUAAAUCAGGGAGGUAGUGACAAGAUAUAACAACGCGAGUAAAAAUCGCGAUUGUAGUGAGGGUAUUCUAAAAAUAGCUUCGAGUACGAUUGGAGGGCAAGUCUGGUGCCAGCAGCCGCGGUAAUUCCAGCUCCAAUAGCGUAUAUUAAAGUUGUUGCAGUUAAAAAGCUCGUAGUUGGAUUUCAAGAAAAGCAAGGGGCAACCCAUCUGCUUUCUACCAGUCAUUGACUGUUACUGUGAGAAAAUUAGAGUGUUUCAAGCAAGCAUUUGCAGGAAUACAUUAGCAUGGAAUAACGAAUGUAUCUACAAUUUGGUUGAUUGUAGAUUU